Astyanax mexicanus (Mexican tetra) is the source of this 1421-nucleotide long non-coding RNA. RefSeq lists it as uncharacterized. The transcript has 9 exons. The record is from RefSeq and is a predicted model, not a curated record. NCBI's taxonomy places the organism in Eukaryota, Metazoa, Chordata, Actinopteri, Characiformes, Acestrorhamphidae.
CAUUCUUGCACACUAGUCAGUCAGCUCGCCCGCAAGGAUCCAAUGGAACAAAGACAAGCCUUAUCGAUUUAGGCGCUCUCGGCCAAUAGCGGCGCUCGGCACGGGUCACGUGACGCCCGGUCUCCCUCUCGCCUCUUUCCCACCGCGCUCUCUCACUCGGGUGAGCGCAGACAGGAAAGCGGGCGGCGGAGUGCCAGUCUGCGUCUGCCAGCUGUGGGACGAGUAGCUGGCCAGCGUUACCGGUGACUGACGGCUCUCCAGCCUUUGCUUUUAAACUGAAGAGAGACGAGGCGAAGCGGCAGCGGUGGUUCUUCUCCUCCGGCUCGCCGGGUUUAGGCUUCUCUAACUGAACGGACUUUCCAGAGCGCUGUUCUGCCGGAGGACUCGCCCUGACGGCGGCAGCGGCGGGCGUCGCGUGCGCAAACGACGGUUGAGGUUAGCGGGCCAGAAAGAGCAGGAGAGAAAAAGGACAUGAAUGCUAUUUCUGAAAAACAUUUGAGCUCUGUACUUUUGACACCAUGUGAUGAAACUAAAAAAAAGAACCUCUGAUAAAGUCACUGCGGUAUGAAUGGGAUGUCUCAGUUGCUAUAAUUUGGAAAUGGUUGGCUGGUCUAAUUCCACCAGGACAUCAGACCUGCAGCUAAAGAGAACAGCAGCGCAGUGAAUGCUGUCACUUGGAUUUAGGCCAGAUCUUUAGAUCUUCAGCCAACUCUCCUGCUCUGAGCCACAAAUACAUAGGCCAGUGGUUGACAUCUCUCCAGCACCUUUGGAGGCGUUUCAAAGCCACUGACUUCAGCUGUAUUUUCAGAGAGAACAUCUCGGUGCUCUCAGAUUUUGGUGGCUGUGGUUAGAAACUGGCACCAGUGAAAUGUGUGGAAAAGAAGCUACAGGAUGGUCAACAACAACAACAAAAAAAGUCAAGGAAAUUGGAUUACUCUUUCUCUCAACUACUAAGGUUAUAAUGGCACACAAAAUGAGCAUUCCACUGCAGUUUCGAUACAGUGGAAAGCAACCAACAGAAAGGGUCUGUUUUCACACAUUCAAAGACUGAGGAAUCUGAAUAUUCGGGUUAAGAAUAUACAUGGACGGAGAAACAAAAUGACUGAGGGUCUGUUUUCACACAUUCAAAGACUGAGGAAUCUGGAUAUUCGGAUAUAAGAAUAUACAUGGACGGAGAAACAAGAUGACUGAGGUUGCUAUGUGACACGCUUAGGCCUAUCUGCUUCCUCUCUGGGCCGCGUCCCAUUUCCGUCUGAUGGCGCAAAAAUAGCCGGGCCCUCUGCACCCUUCCAUGUUGUUUCUUCCUCUCUGCACACCAUGACAUCGAUCAAACCUGUUCCUAGGCUUCCUAUCUCUUCCUGAGGCUGAGAGAAUUGUAGAAAAGAGAAGUGGGAGGAUUUUUGUCCUCCCUUGAUUUUUUA